RNAcentral lists this long non-coding RNA (239 nucleotides) under Brassica rapa (field mustard). RNAcentral's name for it is "long non-coding RNA (BRAP_LNC001270)". The record is from RNAcentral. Lineage: Eukaryota; Viridiplantae; Streptophyta; Magnoliopsida; Brassicales; Brassicaceae.
UAGGCUAUCAAUACUUCACACUUAUCAACAAUGACCCAAUCACCACACAUCUUCCCAUGGCCUGAGUCUUCACGAUGCCUUUCCCUUACCACGGUCCAAGUCUGAUCCUGAAACCACACGAAUCACAUCACAUACACAUCAAGUCGAUAUCCAAGCAUCAGAUCUAAGAUAGCAUGGUUCGGAUCCUUAAGAACUAGGUUCUGCCCAAAAUUACAUACUCAAAUAAAUUCUUAAAAACU